RNAcentral lists this ribosomal RNA (425 nucleotides) under uncultured bacterium. RNAcentral's name for it is "bacterial SSU rRNA". It matches the Rfam family "Bacterial small subunit ribosomal RNA", at positions 356 to 773 of the family's 1533-position model. The record is from RNAcentral.
GGGGAAUUUUGGACAAUGGGCGCAAGCCUGAUCCAGCAAUGCCGCGUGCAGGAAGAAGGCCUUCGGGUUGUAAACUGCUUUUGUACGGAACGAAACGGUUCUCUCUAAUACAGGGGGCUAAUGACGGUACCGUAAGAAUAAGCACCGGCUAACUACGUGCCAGCAGCCGCGGUAAUACGUAGGGUGCAAGCGUUAAUCGGAAUUACUGGGCGUAAAGCGUGCGCAGGCGGUUUUGUAAGACAGAGGUGAAAUCCCCGGGCUCAACCUGGGAACUGCCUUUGUGACUGCAAAGCUGGAGUGCGGCAGAGGGGGAUGGAAUUCCGCGUGUAGCAGUGAAAUGCGUAGAUAUGCGGAGGAACACCGAUGGCGAAGGCAAUCCCCUGGGCCUGCACUGACGCUCAUGCACGAAAGCGUGGGGAGCAAAC